RNAcentral lists this ribosomal RNA (253 nucleotides) under uncultured bacterium. RNAcentral's name for it is "partial 16S ribosomal RNA". It matches the Rfam family "Bacterial small subunit ribosomal RNA", at positions 524 to 776 of the family's 1533-position model. The record is from RNAcentral.
UACGGAGGAUCCAAGCGUUAUCCGGAUUUAUUGGGUUUAAAGGGUGCGUAGGCGGAUUGAUAAGUUAGAGGUGAAAUGUCCGAGCUCAACUCGGGAACUGCCUCUAAUACUGUUGAUCUAGAGAGUAGAUGCGGUAGGCGGAAUGUAUGGUGUAGCGGUGAAAUGCUUAGAGAUCAUACAGAACACCGAUUGCGAAGGCAGCUUACCAAUCUAUAUCUGGCGUUGAGGCACGAAAGCGUGGGGAGCAAACAGG